AUGGGGCCGCCUCCGACUCCAGCCCCAGUGCAGCAGCCGCAGCCGCCGCGCACGGGGAGAGCAGCAGCGCCACGGACCGGGAAGUUCCGGACGCUUGCUCCUACUUUUUCUUUACCUAUUAAAGAAAAGAGUAAAGACCGUUCGGCCGAACGGCAGUACAUGGUACCUAAAGAGCGAUAUUCCCCAGGCCACCUGCGUCCUACGCUUGUGGUGCGAUCCUCUAUGUUGCCUCUUUCCCCCUCUCAGCCCGGUGGCUGUAGGGUGGCGGUCGGACGGCGUGUUCACAUGGCCUCUGGUUCACCUGCUUCUAAGAAGCGGCGUCCCUUGGAGCCUCGUGGACGGAUCAGAGACUCGUUGCACGGUCUCCUGGUUCCCCACAUUAUAGGUGAGGAGAUGGGUCCGCGCGCUGUGGCUACAGCCUGCGGACAGCGCAUGCGCACAGGUGCUGCGGCCGGACGGCUCGCUCCCUGUUCAGCGGGCACGAGCGCGACGUCUAGACAGCUCGUUGUUUUUACAACUGCUAGUUGUGGUACGUCUCCUACGCUCGCUGAGCCUCCUCCCUUUCGUGGGAAGCCCCCCUUGGUUCACACGCAGUGUGAAGGCGGUAGGGGCAGAGGAAUACGGGUUAUUCCUGGACGGUCUUCCUCAGCUGUCGGCUCGCCCUCUCUCCAACCGCUAUGCGUGUUGGCAAGAGCGGUGCGUUCUGCCAUCGUGGUUGGACACCACGUUGAGAUGGGGCCAUCCCAUACAGUUCAAGCGUCGUCCCCCACCCUUUAUGGGGUUGGUGGAGACCACGCUACGGGACCCGGCUGCGAGCACGGCUCUGGCAGCAGAGGUGGCACGUCUCUUGGUAAAGGGGGCCAUCACUGUCGUUCCCCCCCACGAGUCUCACCUAGGUUUUUAUUCCCGCUACUUCCUGGUUUCCAAGAAGUCAGGGGAAAUGAGACCUAUUCUGGAUCUUCGCGUGUUCAACAGAUUCGUUGCCACGAGGAAGUUCAGAAUGCUCACGGUCGGAGCAUUGUUCCGGUGUGUGAGAGAGGACGAUUGGUUCACAUCCCUGGAUCUCAAGGAUGCUUACUUCCACGUCCCUGUUCGGCAGGCGCACAGGAAGUUUCUCCGCUUUGCCUUUAUGGGGAUGGCGUACGAGUACCAGUGUCUGCCGUUCGGCUAUUCCCUGUUUCCGCCCACCUUCUCGAAGUGUGUGGAGACGGCGUUGGAACCGCUCAGACGUCAGGGAAAGAGGAUUCUCCUCUACCUAGACGAUCUGCUUAUUCUGAGCAACUCAGAAGAGACCGCGAGAAGGGACACCAUGUUGGUGAUAAACCAUCUCUCCUUCCUGGGUUUUGCCAUCAACUGGGAGAAGAGCUCCCCGCUCCCCAGCCGGCAGACAGUCUACUUGGGGCUUUGCCUAGACUCAGCCACCAUGACUGCGAUGCUUUCGCCUCCUCGGCGAGACGCCAUCCUGUCGGCGCUCUCCCGUUUUCACGUUCGCAGAAACGUGACCGCACUGUCCACCAUGCGCCUGUUGGGGCUGAUGGCAGCUGCCCACCCCGUGGUCCCCCUGGGUCUGCUUUUUAUGCGCAGACUCUAGCGGUGGUUUGCUCGCCAACGGUUGGACCCCAGGCGACACAAGCUCAGGGUGCUCCUCGUCCCCCGUUCGGUGUCGCCAGACCUGGAAUAUUGGAAAGGACCCUCCGCCCUUCUCAAGGGUGUUCCACUGGGCAGGGUGGCGUCCUACGUAGUGGUCUUCACGGACGCCUUGUUGACGGGUUGGGGAGGAACGUGCCUCUCUCACUCGGUCGGAGACGAGUGGCGCACGCCCCCUACAGCACACAUAAAUGUGUUGGAGCUCGACGCUGUGAGGAAAGUGCUGUUGCAUUUCUUUCACCUGGUGCGCGGCCGCCACGUUCUGAUCAGGACAGACAACGUGUCGGCGGCGGCGUACAUCAACAGACAGGGGGGAGUCCGCUCCCCUGCUCUCCACCGAAAGGCGGUCGAGCUCUGGCUUUGGGCUCAUCAGUAUCUCCGCAGUCUGAGAGCCCUGCAUAUCGCGGGCGCCCAGAACUUUGGGGCGGACCUCAUGUCUCGAGGCGGUCCCCGCCGAGACGAGUGGUGGUUACAUCCCGACAUUGUCAGACUGAUCUGGCAGAGGUUCGGGACAGCGCAGGUGGACCUCUUCGCGUCCCGGGAGAACACGCACUGCAGGUGGUGGUUCUCCCUCAGCCCUCGGGAUCUUCCCCCGUUGGGGGUAGAUGCGUUGGCACACACACCUUGGCCGCGGGCUCUCUUGUAUGCGUUUCCCCCGCUCCAGCUGAUCCUUCCUCUUCUGGAACGGGUCAGACAGGAGAGACUGUCCCUGAUAUUAGUGGCCCCGGAGAACCGUUCAGCUCUGUGGUUUCCAGAGCUUGCCGCGCUCUCGCGGUCGGCGCCUUGGCCAGUACCAUUCAGGCCGGAUGCGCUUUCACAGGCCCACGGGACGGUGCACCACCCGCCCGAUGUCUCGGGACGGCUGUUGGUUUGGCUCCUGAGAGGUUGAUCCUGCAGGGCAAAGGUUUGCCUGAGACGGUUAUCAACACUAUUCAGAGUGCUCGUGCGCCUUCUACUUCUUCCCUCUAUGCGGCGAAGUGGUGCGCCUUCUCUAAUUGGUGUGAGACGAACCACGCUGUCCCAUCUCAAUGCGAGGUGGGAAGCGUGCUUUCGUUUCUGCAAAACUUAUUGGAAAAAGGUUUGGCCUUCUCCACUAUCAAGGUCUAUGCGGCAGCCGUUUCGGCUGGCCAUGCAGGCUGUGAUCAGCCAUCCACUGGUCAAGAGAUUCUUGCGUGGGGCUAG
Long non-coding RNA from Gadus morhua (Atlantic cod), 2829 nucleotides. The record is from Ensembl. Lineage: Eukaryota; Metazoa; Chordata; Actinopteri; Gadiformes; Gadidae.